GAGACACGGGCCUUAGGAUGGGGCUGCGGUCGAUUAUGCUAGAUGGCGGUGUAAAGGACCACCAUGGCUAUGAUCGGUAUGGGCGAUGGAAGUCGGAGCCCAGAGUCGGCUACUGAGACAAGGAGCCGAGCUUUACGAAGCUUAGCGGUCGCGAAAACUCGCCAAUGCACGGAAGUGUGAGUGGGCUACUCCAAGUGUCAUUCUUACGGAUGACUGUCGCUCAGUCUUACCAGCUGAGAAAGGAAGGAGAGGGCAAGGCUGGUGCCAGCCGCCGCGGUAAAACCAGCUCUUCGAGUGGUCAGGACGAAUAUUGGGUCUAAAGCGCUCGUAGCCGGACAAGUAGGUUCUUGGUUAAACCCGACAGCAUAACUGUUGGCCUGCUGGGAAUACCGCUAGUCUUGGGAGCGGGAGAGGACAGAGGUAGUCAUAGGGCAGGGGUGAAAUCCAGUGAUCCUAUGGCGACCACCGAUGGCGAAGGCAUCUGUCUGGAACGUAUCCGACGGUGAGGGGCGAAAGCUAGGGGAGCGACCCGGAUUAGAUACCCGGUUAGUCCUAGCCGUAAACGAUGCGGACUAGGUGUUACAAUGGCCAAGAGCCACUGUAGUGCCACAGCGAAGGCGUUAAGUCCGCCACCUGGGGAGUACGGAUGCAAGUCUGAAACUUAAAGGAA
Molecule: ribosomal RNA, 670 nt
Filed under: uncultured archaeon
Lineage: Archaea
Description: bacterial SSU rRNA
Rfam family: Archaeal small subunit ribosomal RNA
Source: RNAcentral